RNAcentral lists this ribosomal RNA (216 nucleotides) under Campeiostachys nutans. RNAcentral describes it as "Elymus nutans partial small subunit ribosomal RNA". The stretch from base 38 to 216 matches the Rfam family "Eukaryotic small subunit ribosomal RNA", at positions 684 to 864 of the family's 1831-position model. Lineage: Eukaryota; Viridiplantae; Streptophyta; Magnoliopsida; Poales; Poaceae. The record is from RNAcentral.
GGGUCAGUAGGUCGGUCGUGCCACUGGUAUGAACUGGUUUUACUGAUUCCUCCCUCUUGAAGAACUGUAAUGCCAUUAAUUUGGUGUUGCAGGGAAUCAGGACUGUUACUUUGAAAAAAUUAGAGUGUUCAAAGCAGGCCUACGCCUGAAUACGUUAGCAUGGAAUAAUAGAAUAGGACGUGCGAUCCUAUUUUGUUGGUUUCUAGAGUCGCCGUA